AUACCGCAUAAUGUCUACGGACCAAAGGGGGCUUCGGCUCUCGCCUUUAGAUUGGCCCAAGUGGGAUUAGCUAGUUGGUGAGGUAAUGGCUCACCAAGGCAACGAUCCCUAGCUGGUUUGAGAGGAUGAUCAGCCACACUGGAACUGAGACACGGUCCAGACUCCUACGGGAGGCAGCAGUGGGGAAUAUUGCACAAUGGGCGCAAGCCUGAUGCAGCCAUGCCGCGUGUGUGAAGAAGGCCUUCGGGUUGUAAAGCACUUUCAGUCAGGAGGAAAGAUUAGUAGUUAAUACCUGCUAGUUGUGACGUUACUGACAGAAGAAGCACCGGCUAACUCCGUGCCAGCAGCCGCGGUAAUACGGAGGGUGCGAGCGUUAAUCGGAAUUACUGGGCGUAAAGCGUACGCAGGCGGUUUGUUAAGCGAGAUGUGAAAGCCCCGGGCUCAACCUGGGAACUGCAUUUCGAACUGGCAAACUAGAGUGUGAUAGAGGGUGGUAGAAUUUCAGGUGUAGCGGUGAAAUGCGUAGAGAUCUGAAGGAAUACCGAUGGCGAAGGCAGCCACCUGGGUCAACACUGACGCUCAUGUACGAAAGCGU
Molecule: ribosomal RNA, 595 nt
Filed under: Pseudoalteromonas sp. WH009031s
Lineage: Bacteria; Pseudomonadati; Pseudomonadota; Gammaproteobacteria; Alteromonadales; Pseudoalteromonadaceae
Description: bacterial SSU rRNA
Rfam family: Bacterial small subunit ribosomal RNA
Source: RNAcentral